This 447-nucleotide ribosomal RNA is filed under the name uncultured bacterium. RNAcentral describes it as "bacterial SSU rRNA". It matches the Rfam family "Bacterial small subunit ribosomal RNA", at positions 329 to 793 of the family's 1533-position model. The record is from RNAcentral.
UGCCAGACUCCUACGGGAGGCAGCAGUGGGGAAUAUUGCACAAUGGGGGAAACCCUGAUGCAGCGACGCCGCGUGAGUGAAGAAGUACUUCGUUAUGUAAAGCUCUCUCAGCAGGGAAGAAAAUGACGGUACCUGAAGAAGAAGCCCCGGCUAACUACGUGCCAGCAGCCGCGGUAAUACGUAGGGGGCAAGCGUUAUCCGGAUUUACUGGGUGUAAAGGGGGCGCAGACGGCGAUGCAAGCCAGGAGUGAAAGCCCGGGGCCCAACCCCGGGACUGCUCUUGGAACUGCGUGGCUGGAGUGCAGGAGGGGCAGGCGGAAUUCCUGGUGUAGCGGUGAAAUGCGUAGAUAUCAGGAGGAACACCGGUGGCGAAGGCGGCCUGCUGGACUGCAACUGACGUUGAGGCCCGAAAGCGUGGGGAGCAAACAGGAUUAGAUACCCCCGUAC